UAGUCCACGCCCUAAACGAUGUUUACUCGAUGUUUGGACUUCGGUUUGAGCAUCCAAGGGAAACCAUUAAGUAAACCACCUGGGGAGUACGUUCGCAAGAAUGAAACUCAAAGGAAUUGACGGGGGCUCACACAAGCGGUGGAGGAUGUGGCUUAAUUCGAGGCUACGCGAAGAACCUUAUCCAGGCCUUGACAUGCACGGAUUAACCCUGUGAAAGCAGGGCCACGCCUUCGGGUGGAACGUGCACAGGUGCUGCAUGGCUGUCGUCAGCUCGUGUCGUGAGAUGUCGGGUUAAGUCCCUUAACGAGCGAAACCCUUAUCUUUAGUUGCCAGCGAGUAAUGUCGGGGACUCUAGAGAGACUGCCGGUGUUAAACCGGAGGAAGGUGGGGAUGACGUCAAGUCCUCAUGGCCUUUAUGGUCUGGGCUGCACACGUCCUACAAUGGCGCGUACAAAGGGAAGCUACCUCGCGAGAGCAAGCAAAUCCCAUAAAGCGCGCCUCAGUUCGGAUUGCAGG
RNAcentral lists this ribosomal RNA (516 nucleotides) under uncultured bacterium. RNAcentral's name for it is "bacterial SSU rRNA". It matches the Rfam family "Bacterial small subunit ribosomal RNA", at positions 791 to 1304 of the family's 1533-position model. The record is from RNAcentral.